GUGCUAUAUGAAAGGAGAAAAGCUUAGCAGUCUUCUUGACAAAGACGGAAGAGAACCUUGGGAUCCACAAUACCCAAACACAUAAGGCAUUUGUUUCAGUCAACUAGUGCUGCUCUAAUA
This 120-nucleotide non-coding RNA is filed under the name Procavia capensis (Cape rock hyrax). The record is from RNAcentral. Lineage: Eukaryota; Metazoa; Chordata; Mammalia; Hyracoidea; Procaviidae.